This 2902-nucleotide ribosomal RNA is filed under the name Klebsiella pneumoniae. Its description in RNAcentral is "23S ribosomal RNA". It matches the Rfam family "Bacterial large subunit ribosomal RNA". The record is from RNAcentral. Lineage: Bacteria; Pseudomonadati; Pseudomonadota; Gammaproteobacteria; Enterobacterales; Enterobacteriaceae. RNAcentral also lists the same sequence under 1 other name.
GGUUAAGCGACUAAGCGUACACGGUGGAUGCCCUGGCAGUCAGAGGCGAUGAAGGACGUGCUAAUCUGCGAAAAGCGUCGGUAAGGUGAUAUGAACCGUUAUAACCGGCGAUGUCCGAAUGGGGAAACCCAGUGCAAUUCGUUGCACUAUCGUUAACUGAAUACAUAGGUUAACGAGGCGAACCGGGGGAACUGAAACAUCUAAGUACCCCGAGGAAAAGAAAUCAACCGAGAUUCCCCCAGUAGCGGCGAGCGAACGGGGAGCAGCCCAGAGUCUGAAUCAGCUUGUGUGUUAGUGGAACGGUCUGGAAAGUCCGACGGUACAGGGUGAUAGUCCCGUACACCAAAAUGCACAGGCUGUGAACUCGAAGAGUAGGGCGGGACACGUGGUAUCCUGUCUGAAUAUGGGGGGACCAUCCUCCAAGGCUAAAUACUCCUGACUGACCGAUAGUGAACCAGUACCGUGAGGGAAAGGCGAAAAGAACCCCGGCGAGGGGAGUGAAAAAGAACCUGAAACCGUGUACGUACAAGCAGUGGGAGCACCUUCGGGUGUGACUGCGUACCUUUUGUAUAAUGGGUCAGCGACUUAUAUUCUGUAGCAAGGUUAACCGUAUAGGGGAGCCGCAGGGAAACCGAGUCUUAACUGGGCGUUAAGUUGCAGGGUAUAGACCCGAAACCCGGUGAUCUAGCCAUGGGCAGGUUGAAGGUUGGGUAACACUAACUGGAGGACCGAACCGACUAAUGUUGAAAAAUUAGCGGAUGACUUGUGGCUGGGGGUGAAAGGCCAAUCAAACCGGGAGAUAGCUGGUUCUCCCCGAAAGCUAUUUAGGUAGCGCCUCGUGAAUUCAUCUUCGGGGGUAGAGCACUGUUUCGGCUAGGGGGUCAUCCCGACUUACCAACCCGAUGCAAACUACGAAUACCGAAGAAUGUUAUCACGGGAGACACACGGCGGGUGCUAACGUCCGUCGUGAAGAGGGAAACAACCCAGACCGCCAGCUAAGGUCCCAAAGUCAUGGUUAAGUGGGAAACGAUGUGGGAAGGCACAGACAGCCAGGAUGUUGGCUUAGAAGCAGCCAUCAUUUAAAGAAAGCGUAAUAGCUCACUGGUCGAGUCGGCCUGCGCGGAAGAUGUAACGGGGCUAAACCAUGCACCGAAGCUGCGGCAGCGACACUAUGUGUUGUUGGGUAGGGGAGCGUUCUGUAAGCCUGCGAAGGUGUGCUGUGAGGCAUGCUGGAGGUAUCAGAAGUGCGAAUGCUGACAUAAGUAACGAUAAAGCGGGUGAAAAGCCCGCUCGCCGGAAGACCAAGGGUUCCUGUCCAACGUUAAUCGGGGCAGGGUGAGUCGACCCCUAAGGCGAGGCCGAAAGGCGUAGUCGAUGGGAAACAGGUUAAUAUUCCUGUACUUGGUGUUACUGCGAAGGGGGGACGGAGAAGGCUAUGUUAGCCGGGCGACGGUUGUCCCGGUUUAAGCAUGUAGGCUGGUUGUCCAGGCAAAUCCGGAUAAUCAAGGCUGAGGUGUGAUGACGAGGCACUACGGUGCUGAAGUAACAAAUGCCCUGCUUCCAGGAAAAGCCUCUAAGCAUCAGGUAACAUCAAAUCGUACCCCAAACCGACACAGGUGGUCAGGUAGAGAAUACCAAGGCGCUUGAGAGAACUCGGGUGAAGGAACUAGGCAAAAUGGUGCCGUAACUUCGGGAGAAGGCACGCUGGUGUGUAGGUGAAGCCCCUGCGGGUGGAGCUGAGACCAGUCGAAGAUACCAGCUGGCUGCAACUGUUUAUUAAAAACACAGCACUGUGCAAACACGAAAGUGGACGUAUACGGUGUGACGCCUGCCCGGUGCCGGAAGGUUAAUUGAUGGGGUUAUCCGUAAGGAGAAGCUCUUGAUCGAAGCCCCGGUAAACGGCGGCCGUAACUAUAACGGUCCUAAGGUAGCGAAAUUCCUUGUCGGGUAAGUUCCGACCUGCACGAAUGGCGUAAUGAUGGCCAGGCUGUCUCCACCCGAGACUCAGUGAAAUUGAACUCGCUGUGAAGAUGCAGUGUACCCGCGGCAAGACGGAAAGACCCCGUGAACCUUUACUAUAGCUUGACACUGAACAUUGAGCCUUGAUGUGUAGGAUAGGUGGGAGGCUUUGAAGCGUGGACGCCAGUCUGCGUGGAGCCAACCUUGAAAUACCACCCUUUAAUGUUUGAUGUUCUAACGUUGGCCCCUUACCGGGGUUGCGGACAGUGUCUGGUGGGUAGUUUGACUGGGGCGGUCUCCUCCCAAAGCGUAACGGAGGAGCACGAAGGUUAGCUAAUCCUGGUCGGACAUCAGGAGGUUAGUGCAAUGGCAUAAGCUAGCUUGACUGCGAGCGUGACGGCGCGAGCAGGUGCGAAAGCAGGUCAUAGUGAUCCGGUGGUUCUGAAUGGAAGGGCCAUCGCUCAACGGAUAAAAGGUACUCCGGGGAUAACAGGCUGAUACCGCCCAAGAGUUCAUAUCGACGGCGGUGUUUGGCACCUCGAUGUCGGCUCAUCACAUCCUGGGGCUGAAGUAGGUCCCAAGGGUAUGGCUGUUCGCCAUUUAAAGUGGUACGCGAGCUGGGUUUAGAACGUCGUGAGACAGUUCGGUCCCUAUCUGCCGUGGGCGCUGGAGAAUUGAGGGGGGCUGCUCCUAGUACGAGAGGACCGGAGUGGACGCAUCACUGGUGUUCGGGUUGUCAUGCCAAUGGCACUGCCCGGUAGCUAAAUGCGGAAGAGAUAAGUGCUGAAAGCAUCUAAGCACGAAACUUGCCCCGAGAUGAGUUCUCCCUGAGACUUUAAGUCUCCUGAAGGAACGUUGAAGACGACGACGUUGAUAGGCCGGGUGUGUAAGCGCAGCGAUGCGUUGAGCUAACCGGUACUAAUGAACCGUGAGGCUUAACCUU